GCCUGGGUGGCUCAGUCGGUUGAGCGUCCGACUUCAGCUCAGGUCACGAACUCACGGUCCGUGAGUUCGAGCCCCGCGUCAGGCU
This is a non-coding RNA of Felis catus (domestic cat), 85 nucleotides long. Lineage: Eukaryota; Metazoa; Chordata; Mammalia; Carnivora; Felidae. The record is from Rfam.